This is a long non-coding RNA of Oncorhynchus keta (chum salmon), 498 nucleotides long. RefSeq lists it as uncharacterized. The transcript has 3 exons. Lineage: Eukaryota; Metazoa; Chordata; Actinopteri; Salmoniformes; Salmonidae. The record is from RefSeq and is a predicted model, not a curated record.
AAAAGGCUAAGGGUUCAGGAGAAGGGAUGAAAAGGCUAAGGGUUCAGGAGAAGGGAUGAAAAGGCUAAGGGUUCAGGAGAAGGGAUGAAAAGGCUAAGGGUUCAGGAGAAGGGAUGAAAAGGCUAAGGGUUCAGGAGAAGGGAUGAAAAGGCUAAGAGUUCAGGAGAAGGGAUGAAAAGGCUAAGGGUUCAGGAGAAGGGAUGAAAAGGCUAAGAGUUCAGGAGAAGGGAUGAAAAGGCUAAGAGUUCAGGAGAAGGGAUGAAAAGGCUAAGAGUUCAGGAGAAGGGAUGAAAAGGCUAAGGGUUCAGGAGAAGGGAUGAAAAGGCUAAGAGUUCAGGAGAAGGGAUGAAAAGGCUAAGGGUUCAGGAGAAGGGAUGAAAAGGCUAAGAGUUCAGGAGAAGGGAUGAAAAGGCUAAGAGUUCAGGAGAAGGGAUGAAAAGGCUAAGAGUUCAGGAGAAGGGAUGAAAAGGCUAAGGGUUCAGGAGAAGGGAUGAAAAG